AAACUGAAGAGUUUGAUCCUGGCUCAGAUUGAACGCUGGCGGCAUGCCUUACACAUGCAAGUCGAACGGCA
This 71-nucleotide ribosomal RNA is filed under the name Paraburkholderia tropica. RNAcentral describes it as "partial 16S ribosomal RNA". It matches the Rfam family "Bacterial small subunit ribosomal RNA", at positions 1 to 71 of the family's 1533-position model. The record is from RNAcentral. Lineage: Bacteria; Pseudomonadati; Pseudomonadota; Betaproteobacteria; Burkholderiales; Burkholderiaceae.